CGACUUUUCGGGAUUGUGCCCGACUAGUACCUAAAAAUUUUUUCCGGAAAAAUUAUUUCGGCGACCAAAAUUUUUUGGUACUAGUCGGGCACAAUCACGAAAAGUCGGG
This is a non-coding RNA of Paramuricea clavata, 109 nucleotides long. Lineage: Eukaryota; Metazoa; Cnidaria; Anthozoa; Malacalcyonacea; Plexauridae. The record is from the annotation of a GenBank genome assembly.